This 492-nucleotide ribosomal RNA is filed under the name uncultured bacterium. Its description in RNAcentral is "partial 16S ribosomal RNA". It matches the Rfam family "Bacterial small subunit ribosomal RNA", at positions 29 to 507 of the family's 1533-position model. The record is from RNAcentral.
AGUGAACGCUGGCGGUAGGCCUAACACAUGCAAGUCGAACGGCAGCACAGUAAGAGCUUGCUCUUACGGGUGGCGAGUGGCGGACGGGUGAGGAAUACAUCGGAAUCUACUUUUUCGUGGGGGAUAACGUAGGGAAACUUACGCUAAUACCGCAUACGACCUACGGGUGAAAGCAGGGGAUCUUCGGACCUUGCGCGAUUGAAUGAGCCGAUGUCGGAUUAGCUAGUUGGCGGGGUAAAGGCCCACCAAGGCGACGAUCCGUAGCUGGUCUGAGAGGAGGAUCAGCCACACUGGAACUGGGACACGGUCCAGACUCCUACGGGAGGCAGCAGUGGGGAAUAUUGGACAGUGGGCGCAAGCCUGGUCCAGCCAUACCGCGUGGGUGGAGAAGGCCUUCGGGUUGUAAAGCCCUUUUGUUGGGAAAGAAAAGCAGCAGGUUAAUACCCCGCUGUUCUGACGGUACCCAAAGAAUAAGCACCGGCUAACUUCGUG